GCCCCCUUAGCUCAGGGGAUAGAGCAACGGCCUCCGGAGCCGUGUGCGCAGGUUCGAAUCCUGCAGGGGGCAC
RNAcentral lists this transfer RNA (73 nucleotides) under Nocardiopsis dassonvillei. RNAcentral's name for it is "tRNA-Arg(ccg)". It matches the Rfam family "tRNA". From Rfam's summary of the family: Transfer RNA (tRNA) molecules are approximately 80 nucleotides in length. Their secondary structure includes four short double-helical elements and three loops (D, anti-codon, and T loops). Further hydrogen bonds mediate the characteristic L-shaped molecular structure. tRNAs have two regions of fundamental functional importance: the anti-codon, which is responsible for specific mRNA codon recognition, and the 3' end, to which the tRNAs corresponding amino acid is attached (by aminoacyl-tRNA synthetases). tRNAs cope with the degeneracy of the genetic code in two manners: having more than one tRNA (with a specific anti-codon) for a particular amino acid; and 'wobble' base-pairing, i.e. permitting non-standard base-pairing at the 3rd anti-codon position. The record is from RNAcentral. Lineage: Bacteria; Bacillati; Actinomycetota; Actinomycetes; Streptosporangiales; Nocardiopsidaceae. RNAcentral also lists the same sequence under 6 other names.